Molecule: ribosomal RNA, 455 nt
Filed under: Canthydrus sp. BI-2011
Lineage: Eukaryota; Metazoa; Arthropoda; Insecta; Coleoptera; Noteridae
Description: partial 16S ribosomal RNA
Rfam family: Bacterial large subunit ribosomal RNA
Source: RNAcentral
AACAAAAACAUGUCCUUUUGAAAAUUAUAUAAGGUUUAACCUGCCCAAUGAUUUAUUUAAUGGCCGCAGUAUUUUGACUGUGCGAAGGUAGCAUAAUCAUUAGUUUUUUAAUUGAAAGCUUGUAUGAAUGGUUGGACGAAAUAAAUUCUGUCUCUAAUUAAAAUUUAGAAUUUUAUUUUUAAGUUAAAAAGCUUAAAUUUUUUUAAAAGACGAGAAGACCCUAUAAAGCUUUACAUUAUUUAUAAUUAUGUUUUUUAGGAUUUUUUAAUAGAUAAUUAUUUAUAUUGUUUGAUUGGGGAAAUUUAAAGAUUGAUAUAAUUCUUUAUUUAUUAAUUCAUAAAUUUAUGUUUAUAUGAUCCAAAAUUUUUGAUUAUAAGAUUAAGUUACUUUAGGGAUAACAGCGUAAUUUUUUUGGAGAGUUCAUAUCGAUAAAAAAGUUUGCGACCUCGAUGUUG